Molecule: unclassified non-coding RNA, 199 nt
Filed under: uncultured fungus
Lineage: Eukaryota; Fungi
Description: sequence contains ITS1
Source: RNAcentral
UUAACUAUUUAAUAGUACUCAGACGACACUAACAUUCAGAGUUUUAGGGGUCCUCUGGCGGGCACGCCGGACGCGAAUCCGGGCAAGCCAGGCUUGCGGCCCGCCAAAGCAACAUUCUGUAAUGAUACACAAGGGUGGGAGAUCUACCCCGAAGGGCAUGAACUCUGUAAUGAUCCUUCCGCAGGUUCACCUACGGAAA